AAAGCGUAAAUCAUCGUUUAUAAACAUGUGAGAGCGAAAUAAGCAAUGAAGUACUUAAUAAGAACAUUGCCUUUCGCCAAUAAACAUUCUUUCAUGAUCAUUACGAGCAUUUUAUGCCCAAGAGCUUUAAUAUGCGUAGUUCCUAAUGGAACACAGAAAUUCAUUCGAGAUGUCGAGUCACGGAGGCGUUGGUAGUUUCCUCUGUUUAAUAUAAGUAAUAGGUUUGUUGGAAAGAAUUCACUUAUGUAAAAGGGACCGCAAAACAAUCAUAAGCGACCGCUUUUUAUUUCUCCGAUAAAACCGCCUUUGGAAAACUAUUCAUGCUACUCUAUGAACCUUUUGUUUACGACGCCUUGAAACAGUUACUAUGGGGACAGGAAACCACUCAAUUACUCUAGUAUUGUGUUCGAUCGAAACAGGGUACGAACUUAUUUCCCGUAGACGGAGUUGGUGGAUGGCUUAACGUAACGCCUGGAAGGGUUGAAGGAAAACGAGAAGAUUUGAGGAGAAUAGUGGGAGAAUGCCGCCAGGACAGUAACCUGCAGCUCCAACUCCAGGGAACUGGGCUGAGUAAACGCAACGAGCGAUCGACAACCCGCCUGCUUCCGGCCGGGCGUCCCUGCACUACAUCUACAUCUGGUUUCGAUACUGACUUAAACAAUAUUACUUUAACCGGGCCU
Cydia pomonella (codling moth) is the source of this 680-nucleotide long non-coding RNA. RefSeq lists it as uncharacterized. The transcript is spliced from 2 exons. The record is from RefSeq and is a predicted model, not a curated record. Lineage: Eukaryota; Metazoa; Arthropoda; Insecta; Lepidoptera; Tortricidae.